GUGCUCCCUUCAGCAGCACAUAUACUAAAAUUGGAAUGAUAGAGAGAAGAUUGCAUGGCCCCUGCAGAGUAUGACAUGCAAAUUCUUGAAGUAUUCCAUAUUUUU
Molecule: small nuclear RNA, 105 nt
Filed under: Dasypus novemcinctus (nine-banded armadillo)
Lineage: Eukaryota; Metazoa; Chordata; Mammalia; Cingulata; Dasypodidae
Source: RNAcentral